This 1833-nucleotide long non-coding RNA is filed under the name Rhagoletis pomonella (apple maggot). RNAcentral's name for it is "uncharacterized LOC118735347, transcript variant X1". The record is from RNAcentral. Lineage: Eukaryota; Metazoa; Arthropoda; Insecta; Diptera; Tephritidae.
UUCAAUAGCACCGCUGGAGGCAGCUGACGGCUGGUUGUAAUAUUUAUGCAAUUUCAAAGACGCAACGAACAAGGGUACCCACCCGUAGUGUGGCGGUGCAGUGGAGCAAAAAGAGCAACAACAGUAAAAACUCAAAGAAUACUCCAUUUAUUAUCACAUUGCCCCAAUGGAGAAAGGCGGCGCGGCUGCAAGAGCAACAGAGACAGGGAAGCGAGAGAGAGUAUUUAUGUGAGGGCCAUAAAAAUGCAGUCUUCUCCGUUGGAGUUGGUCGGCGCGGCAUAUUUGCCUUGGCUUUUGAUUUAUGCACAGCCCAACUGCGGCGGUGGCAGCAACAGCAGUAGCGGCAGCAAUGCCGUGGCAAGUGAGGCAAAAUAAUGCAAUAAAUUUGACAUUAUCGCGAGCAGCCAUAAGAUAUGGCGGAAUUGGUAAUGGCGCACGGCCAAGGCGCAGGCGUGGAAAGGUGAAAAUCUGCGUCCUCAGCACUUAAAAACAUAUGCAUGUAUGCAUAUAUGUACAUACAAAGCUAUUCAAGUGCGCUGCUGAUGCGGUAAUGGCAUGCGCGUAGGUCGUAAAAAUGUGAAAAUACUACAACAAACGUGAUAUAAGAAACACAUAAAAAAAUCAAUGCUCAAACGAAGACGUAUAAAUAUUCAAAAGGUUGCGCUACAAAAGAAGGCAGGAGCGCACAUAAAACGAGAAAAUGUUCAAUAUGACGAAAGCAGAUAAAUACGAAAAACGCUCAUAAAUGCGGCAAAUGGCUAAGACGCGAUGAACAUCAAAGUACACCUCAAGUAUGUAAGUAAGUACCAGGACCUGUUUUAGUACAAAACAAUGGCUGAAAUACAUAUGUACGAGUAUGUAAAAGCAGACAGUUUCAAGUACUCGGCGGCUCAUAAAAUGCGAACAGCGUCACUUGCGAGGAUAACGUCCAACGUAUUUUACGAUCUGCUAAGAAGGUGGUCCCCCAUAACCGCUGGCUCAAGAACAUGCAUAAAAAACGAUAUAAAAAGAGAAAUCCAAACAAGUCCAUUGCUUAUCGUAAUUGUUGGGUUAUUAUUCGCCUGAUUUUAUGUGGCGAGCAGCAUUGGCAAUCGCUGGCUAUAAGUCUGCGCUAUAAUCACAUAAGUGGCAUCUGAAACUAAAAACGUUCGCAUUCAACACAUUUAGCUGGUUAAAGUGAUCAGCAUAAAAAGGUUGUUGGAUAUAAACAUACUUUUAUGUAAUUCUGUACCCAUUGGAUUUACUCUUCCAUACAAUUAUAGAGGUUAAAGAUUUGAGCGCUUUUUAAGCAGUAUUAUUGGUGCAGUUUUUCGCAAAGUGAAAGUGCAGUUGAUUGCGGUAAUUGCUUGACAGUUAAAGUUUGAACGUUUUAAAUAUCUUAAUAAAGUAUUAAGGAAUUCGAAGUAAGAAAGGCUUGCCCGCGAAUACCAUUGUCGUAAAAAUAAGUCCAACUUAUAGUCCCCAAAAAUGUGAGUUUAAAAACAUUAUAGUAAUAGACAAUGGUAAGGCUCUCCGACUUGGCAUUUUUAAAAGAUAUAAUAUAAUCUCAAUAAAAGUUUUCAAAAAUUAUUACAGCAAUCUCAGCGUUUGUGGAGAAAAUUGGCAUAUGGAAGAGGCCAGAGGCUUAACUAUAGGGCGGCAUUGCUGGCAGUUAGGUACAAAUCGAUAAAGUGGUUACCGAGGUACACCUUUGUAGUUAUAAAGUGGGCGGUGCCACAGCAGUCUUAUUUUUUGAUUGAAGAUUAUUGUAACUGUAAACUUGAAGUAAAUUAGCGUCCUCAGUUAUUGAAAUAUCGGAGUUUUCGUAUUUCUGAAAUUUACCGUUAUACGGGA